This 372-nucleotide ribosomal RNA is filed under the name Triticum aestivum (bread wheat). Its description in RNAcentral is "partial small subunit ribosomal RNA". Lineage: Eukaryota; Viridiplantae; Streptophyta; Magnoliopsida; Poales; Poaceae. The record is from RNAcentral.
AUGACGAGACGCUGCUCGCCGCCGCUGGCUCCUCUUGCCCUGCUUCUCCUCCUCUGCUUCUCCUACGGCGCGGCGGCCGCUCGCCCCCUCCCCGCCAACACUGCUCCUCACCAAGGUAUCGCUGUGGCGAGAGCAAAGGCGGCAGAUGCUGCAACAACGGACGGCCUAGUGUCGCUCAAGGAGGAAGGUGGCAAGGCCCGCAAUGGCGGCGAGGCGGUGUCACCACCUGAGGCGACGGCGGAGGGGAUGGAGGUGGAGGCGGAGGAGGAGGCGUGCGAGGAGGGGAACGAGGGGGAGGAGUGCAUGCAGAGGAGGCUGCUCCACGACGCGCACCUGGACUACAUCUACACGCAGCACAAGGGCAGGCCAUGA